UGUAGUCUGCAACCCGCCUACAUGAAGCUGGAAUCGCUAGUAAUCGCGAAUCAGAAUGUCGCGGUGAAUACGUUCCCGGGUCUUGUACACACCGCCCGUCACACCAUGGGAGUCGGAAAUGCCCGAAGUCAGUGACCCAACCGUAAGGAGGGAGCUGCCGAAGGUGGAGCCGGUAACUGGGGUGAAGUCGUAACAAGGUAAC
Molecule: ribosomal RNA, 202 nt
Filed under: uncultured bacterium
Lineage: Bacteria
Description: partial 16S ribosomal RNA
Rfam family: Bacterial small subunit ribosomal RNA
Source: RNAcentral